ACGAGCGCACCCUUAUCCCUAGUUGCCAGCACAUCAUGGUGGGAACUCUAGGGAGACUGCCGGUGACAAACCGGAGGAAGGUGGGGAUGACGUCAGGUCAUCAUGGCCCUUACGGCCAGGGCUACACACGUGCUACAAUGGCGCGCACAGAGGGCUGCAAACCCGCGAGGGGGAGCUAAUCUCACAAAACGCGUCGUAGUCCGGAUCGCAGUCUGCAACUCGACUGCGUGAAGUCGGAAUCGCUAGUAAUCGCGAAUCAGAAUGUCGCGGUGAAUACGUUCCCGGGCCUCGUACACACCGCCCGUCACACCAUGGGAGUGGAUUGCACCAGAAGUGGUUAGUCUAACCUUCGGGAGGACGAUCACCACGGUGUGGUUCAUGACUGGGGUGAAGUCGUAACAAGGUAGCCGUAGGGGAACCUGCGGCUGGAUCACCUCCUU
RNAcentral lists this ribosomal RNA (440 nucleotides) under uncultured Marinobacter sp. RNAcentral's name for it is "bacterial SSU rRNA". It matches the Rfam family "Bacterial small subunit ribosomal RNA", at positions 1092 to 1532 of the family's 1533-position model. The record is from RNAcentral. Lineage: Bacteria; Pseudomonadati; Pseudomonadota; Gammaproteobacteria; Pseudomonadales; Marinobacteraceae.